CACGGAGUUAGCCGAUCCUUAUUCUUACGGUACCGUCAAAUAAUUACACGUAAUUACAUUUCUUCCCGUACAAAAGCAGUUUACAAUCCAUAGGACCGUCAUCCUGCACGCGGCAUGGCUGGUUCAGAGUUGCCUCCAUUGACCAAUAUUCCUCACUGCUGCCUCCCGUAGGAGUCUGGUCCGUGUCUCAGUACCAGUGUGGGGGAUCUCCCUCUCAGGACCCCUAAUCAUCGUCGCCUUGGUAUGCCGUUACCACACCAACUAGCUAAUGAUACGCAUGCCCAUCUUUUACCGAUAAAUCUUUAUUAUAUAAAUGAUGCCACUCAUAUAAACCAUGGAGCAUUAAUCCGAAUUUCUCCGGGCUAUUCCCCUGUAAAGGUAGGUUGCAUACGCGUUACUCACCCAUCCGCCGGUCUCUAGAAAGCAAGCUCUCUAUACCCCUCGACUUGCAUGUGUUAGGCCUGCCGCUAGCGUUCAUCCUGAGCCAGGAUCAAACU
This 497-nucleotide ribosomal RNA is filed under the name uncultured Myroides sp. RNAcentral describes it as "partial 16S ribosomal RNA". Lineage: Bacteria; Pseudomonadati; Bacteroidota; Flavobacteriia; Flavobacteriales; Flavobacteriaceae. The record is from RNAcentral.